RNAcentral lists this ribosomal RNA (253 nucleotides) under uncultured bacterium. RNAcentral's name for it is "partial 16S ribosomal RNA". It matches the Rfam family "Bacterial small subunit ribosomal RNA", at positions 524 to 776 of the family's 1533-position model. The record is from RNAcentral.
UACGGAGGGGGCUAGCGUUGUUCGGAAUUACUGGGCGUAAAGCGCGCGUAGGCGGACCUGCAAGUCGAGGGUGAAAGCCCGAGGCUCAACCUCGGAACUGCCUUCGAUACUGCGGGUCUCGAGUCCGGGAGAGGUGAGUGGAAUUCCUAGUGUAGAGGUGAAAUUCGUAGAUAUUCGCAAGAACACCAGUGGCGAAGGCGGCUCACUGGCCCGGUACUGACGCUGAGGUGCGAAAGCGUGGGGAGCAAACAGG